CCUACGCGGGGCAGCAGUAGGGAAUAUUGCUCAAUGGGGGAAACCCUGAAGCAGCAACGCCGCGUGGAGGAUGAAGGUUUUCGGAUUGUAAACUCCUUUUGUUAGAGAAGAUAAUGACGGUAUCUAACGGAUAAGCACCGGCUAACUCCGUGCCAGCAGCCGCGGUAAUACGGAGGGUGCAAGAGUUACGCGGAAUCAAUGAGCGUAAAGAGCGCGGAGCCGGGGUAGCAAGUCAGAUGUGAAAUCCUAUGGCUUAACCAUAGAUCUGCAUUUGAAACUGUUAUUCUAGAGUAUGGGAGAGGUGAGUGGAAUUGUAGGUGUAGGGGUAAAAUCCGUAGAGAUCAAGAGGAAUACUCAUUGCGAAGGCGACCUGCUAGAACAUAACUGACGCUGAUGCGCGAAAGCGUGGGGAGCAAACAGGAUUAGAUACCCGUGUAGUC
RNAcentral lists this ribosomal RNA (440 nucleotides) under uncultured bacterium. Its description in RNAcentral is "partial 16S ribosomal RNA". It matches the Rfam family "Bacterial small subunit ribosomal RNA", at positions 338 to 795 of the family's 1533-position model. The record is from RNAcentral.